GGCUCCGGGCUCUCUUUAGGCCUGGGAAGAGCUGCCAGCUUCAGGGCGAGUCUGAGCAACAGAGUUCCUCAAGUGCACAGCCACUGGCUUGGUCCGGGGACCCAGCACCUCUCAGAUCUGCCCUGGCCCUGGCUUGGCUGACUUCCACGUGGCUUGUGUGGAUGGAGGGUCCAGGCAGCCCCCCAAACCAGGUCCUCAGGGAGGGGGACGGGCACUGGCCACUUUAGCUUCUUUGUGACAUGCCUGCGCCUCCACAUGCUCAGUGUAAGCUCCUGUCCACUGGAAACAACACGGCAAGCUGUCACUCGGGAGACAGAUCAGGGCUGGCAGGAGGCUCACUCAGCACAGAUGGCCCUGCACACCCACCCCGGGCAGCCCGGGAGGAAGAACUGAGAUCAGGACCCGGGGACCAGGUCUUCCCAAGGGACCAGCAGAUGCCGGCCUUGUGUCCUGGUGCCCACUCACCUAAACUGCCGGACUCCCUCUGCCCUUUUUCUCUUUCCAUUAGAUUUGUAUUUCUAGGAUCCACAGCACUUUUCUCAAAAGUGAACUUUAAAAUUCUUUAAAGCUUUAUUUCUUUUUAAUGGUGUCCAAUAUGUUGACAGGAAACACGGGCAUGUUGUUAACUAAGUGGGGUCCAGUGUGGUACACGAGUCACCUGACACGCCGUGUGUGUGUCCAUUGCUGAGCACCCCGAAAAUCACUCUUAGCCCUUUUCAGGAACGUGGCGUGCUGCUUCUCACUAGCGCCAGGGUGGGUAAGGGGGCUCCGGAAGCCCCUGCUGUCCUCACCCAGCAUCUCAUCCUCCCAGCACCCUCCUCCCAGAAGGGCCCAGCUCUGGAGUUCCACUUCUCAGGACUUCGAGGAUACAAGUUCGAGUCCAGCCACUGUGCGCUGUGUCCAGCCGGGCAAUGAGAUUUCGUUCUCUGUGUGUCCCAGGACAAAGACCCCCAGGACGUCACUGCCUGUCCCGUCCUGCUUGGAGGUGAAUAGCAGUUCUGCUGCGAGAGCUUUUGAGGAACCUGCACACUGUUUUCCAGCGGCUGGACUAACCACUCUACCACCAGUGCCCAAGUCCUCACAAAGGGAGACUGCCCAGGGCCAAGGGCAGGGACUUCGCUCCUGAACUGGACCAGUCGCUUUGUUUCCUAUCUGCCCUGACGCAGGACCAGGCACCAGGACUGGAAGCCAGAUGCCCCUGGGUCAGAGUCACCAGCUCCACCCUGUUCUGUCCGCACACCCAGGGCUGGAGGAAAUCUCGCCAACACCCAGGGCUCUCGAGGCCGGGGGUCCCCCAGACGCUGGCCUUGUGUCCUGGUGCCCACUCAGCAGCAUGCCCUGUGGGAGAGUCACUCAACACUGCGCUGCAGUUCCGCACUGCAGCCGGGCCACGUCUUGUACAAUUGUGAAGGGGACAGGAAGUGAGGACAGUGGAGCUGUGACUGUCACUGACGGCCAGGAGCCUCUGGGUGCCCUACUCACCUGGGACACUGAGCGGUGGCCUGGCCCCUCCUGAGGCUCUGGGGCUAGGGAUGGCUUUGGGAACCAGAGCAGGGGUCACACGGGCCCCGGGGGAUCUCAAGAGGCUCUCCUGGGCCAGGACUGGAGCAGAGGGUGGGCCACAUCCUCAGCCUCAUGUCGGUGUCCAUGAGCCCACUCAAGACGCCAUCUGGGAAAGCGGAUGUGCUUGGGACAGACUCAUGGGCGGCUGUCAGAACUGCGCUGUGCGUAUGAUGCGGGUGUUUGGGGUCUGUAAGCUGUUCUAAAUCUAAGCAUGGAAAAUGUCAAGUCAUCUCACUAUUUAGCUUGGGAAAAAAGAUUUAGAUUUAUGGGUGGGUGUUUGAAGAACUUCUGUUUCAUUUCAGAUCCCGGCAGCCCCCUCAAAAGCCACAGCUGAACUAAAAGCCACUUCCCGAGUUGCUUUCUGCACUGGUCCUGGAAAGGCCACCCCCAAAUCCCCAGCGGGAGCCAAGACACGCCGUGCCUGAGGGGGGCUCUUGAGGCACCAGUGGCUGCUGGAGCCCCCAGUGCUCCACGAUGGCCCCAGCCUCCCAAGCUCAGCUCCGCAUCCCCAGUCCAAGCGUGUGCUCCCCCAGACCAGGCUGCUGUGUUCUCUGGACCUGGACCUCGGCCUGGGCCAGUGGCAGCUGCUGCAGAGCAGCUCCACCCACAGGGACCUCGGGACUCAGAGCUGAGGCCCAGGGACAGUGCCGGGCUCUGACGGCCCAGGUCACCCUCAGAUUUCCCAACUGCAGCUGAAGAAGGAGCCAGGUAGAAGCUUCUCCUGUUUUCCUAGGGAGCCACCUUGGAUAGCACUUCCUCACAGAAGGCCUGCUGAGACACCUCCGUGACCAUGGGGAACCCAUAAAAAGGCAGCAGGAUGCCACUUUGUAUCCAUCCCCGACCCGGGUCAGCUGCACCCUGCCUGGUGCAGGUAGGAAGUCGAGCCUGCUGUUCUGUGAGCAGAGCCCAGACGUGCGCCAGGCAGUGGUGUCGUCCUGCCCAGGUGUCCUUGUAUGGACCACAAUCCCCACCCCCAGGCCCCCAGCCAUAGGUCCACAGCUGCCCCGGAUUGACUGCAAGGCGGCAGUCCCUCCUCUCUGCUUUCAUUCUGCACACAUCACUCCGGAGUGCUGUUGUUUGCUUCACUUCUGUCUGCAGAGCCCGAGUGAAUCAGACCUCACGCCAGCCUCAGCCAAGCUGCGUCCUUGGAGCCAGGGCAGCGACAUCCCCUAUCCCAAAACGUGAAAUCAAGGCAGGAGUUGGAUGCACACCUGUGAUCCCAGCACUCGGAGGCUGAGACAGGAGGAUCACCAUGAGUUCAGGGCCAUCCCGGGCUACACAGUGAGUCCAAGGCCAGCCUGAACUGCACAGCGAGACCCUGUCUCAAACAAACAAACAACCAAAUAGGGCCGGGGAUUUGGCUCAGUGGUUCCACCACUUGUCCCGAAAGGACCCGAGUUCAAUCCUGGUACAAAAAACAAAACCAAACCAAACAAACAAAAACCAAAUAGCUGAAAUCCAAAAAGCUCCAAAACUGAAAAGCUCUGGGCACCGCCUGAUGCCAUACAGAGCUCCACCCUCCCUCAGGGGCAGGUGGCAUCAGAAUGUGGCACUAAAUGAUGAAUAACUGACCUUCAGGCUGUGAGCAUCAGGUAUGUCUGAAACACAAGAGACUGUUUCGGGGUCCCAGCCCCAGCACGUCCCAUCUCAUUUCCAACAUCUGGAAGCCUCUGGACUGCCGCUCUGUUCGCAGGCACUUCAGAGAAGGGACGUGGGCCCUGUGUGCAGAGAGAACACAGGAGGAAGGGAGAGCCCAGCAGGGACGAAACCAUGCAGGCGACGGCAGCGGACAGCACUUCCUGCACCCCACAUGGGAGGACUUCGAGGCCAGGGCGAAUGCCACGCCAGAGUCCGUGGGACCCAAGCAUCUGCAGGUGUUGGGCUUCCAGGGUCCAGGUCCUCUGGGAAGGGCGGGCUGCAGCUGCCUCCCCACUUGUUAGUGUCUGCGAGGAGCCCCAGGUGGCCUUGCCUUCUUGAUUCCAGCUCGUGAUGAGGACACGUGGAUCGGAUCGAGGUGACUCAGACCACUCUGGGCGGGCAGCACUCAUGCCCUUAAUCCUAGUGCCCUCGGGCCCCAGCCCCACGGAGCAUCAAUCACACACUGCAGAUCCAGCCACCUCCGAAAUAGCCCGAGACCACAUGAGGCUUUGGGGGACUCGAGACACAGCCGUCACAGGUGGAAUGCUUUGCUGCCUUCAGUCGGAGAACAGUGCCUUCCGUCGUGAAAUCACAUCAUGAAAUGAUUUUGCUGUGGGGAAGACAGAAUCAGGCGAGUGCUCGAACCACAGGCCUCCCUCAGACGCAGAGCGGUGUAGCUGGGCCUCCUCACCCCGGGGAGCUGCAGAAGAACUCAGUCUGCUCUUCUCCUAUUGGUGUGGAAUGGGACUGUCUGGGCCACAGGUUGCCUGGCUGGGCCAGGUCUCUUUACUGCUCACUUGUGUUUGUUUGAAGUAGGGUCUCGCUAUGUAGCCCGGGCUGGCCGAGGACUCGAGCAAUCCUCUGGCCUCAGCCUCAGGGCUGGCACCACAGUCGUGGCCCUGGGGUCUCCUUCCUGGGCACAUCCUCUCUAACCCACCCUCGGGCUGGGCUUCCGCUCUCAGCUGUGUGCUGCGUGUGGUCUUUUCACUCCAGAGAUGGGCCGUGACUUUAGGCACCGUGGAGAAAGAAACAGGCUGCCCGUGGAUCCUUGGUGUCACGGUGCAAACACCCUGAGAUGUUCACAGUGAAAAACAGAACCUGAAAUCCGUGCAGAGGCUGCACAAAAUACAAAUAGGACACUACAUGGUUUCGCUUCGCUUUUCUUGUUAAUGCUGCAUCCUGAACAGCGUUUGUGUCGCUCUUUGUUCCCUAAAUCUGCCGGCCACCAGGUCGGGCACAGAUCCGCGUUUGCCUCUCCGAGCUCCCAUGAGCACCUGCAAGUCCAUGCCGGCUGGGUGAGACAACUCCACUUGCCGUCAUGUGGACAUGACUCAGUUCUUUCCGGGCACGCGUUUAGCUACAGUAAACGUCUUCGUUUACAUUUAAUGCUAUUGCUCUUUUAUUCUAACGUGAAAAAAUGUGCAUACUGAGAAAUAAACCAACCCACAGCACC
This 4654-nucleotide long non-coding RNA is filed under the name Heterocephalus glaber (naked mole-rat). RNAcentral describes it as "lncRNA (ENSHGLG00100044725.1)". Lineage: Eukaryota; Metazoa; Chordata; Mammalia; Rodentia; Bathyergidae. The record is from RNAcentral.